CGGGGGGAGCAAGCGUUGUUCGGAUUUACUGGGCGUAAAGGGCGCGUAGGCGGCCACCGCAAGUCAGUUGUGAAAUCUCUGGGCUUAACCCAGAAAAGGUCAACUGAUACUGCGGGGCUAGAGUGCAGAAGGGGCAACUGGAAUUCUCGGUGUAGCGGUGAAAUGCGUAGAUAUCGAGAGGAACACCUGCGGCGAAGGCGGGUUGCUGGGCUGACACUGACGCUGAGGCGCGAAAGCUAGGGGAGCGAACGGGAUUAGAUACCCCGGUAGUCCUAGCCUUAAACGAUGAAUGCUUGGUGUCUGGGGUUUUAUAGUCCCCGGGUGCCGUCGCUAACGCUUUAAGCAUUCCGCCUGGGGAGUACGGUCGCAAGACUG
RNAcentral lists this ribosomal RNA (375 nucleotides) under uncultured organism. RNAcentral describes it as "bacterial SSU rRNA". It matches the Rfam family "Bacterial small subunit ribosomal RNA", at positions 526 to 896 of the family's 1533-position model. The record is from RNAcentral.